RNAcentral lists this ribosomal RNA (301 nucleotides) under uncultured bacterium. RNAcentral's name for it is "partial 16S ribosomal RNA". It matches the Rfam family "Bacterial small subunit ribosomal RNA", at positions 509 to 808 of the family's 1533-position model. The record is from RNAcentral.
CAGUCGCCGCGGUAAUACGUAGGUGGCAAGCGUUGUCCGGAAUUAUUGGGCGUAAAGGGCUCGCAGGCGGUUUCUUAAGUCUGAUGUGAAAGCCCCCGGCUCAACCGGGGAGGGUCAUUGGAAACUGGGAAACUUGAGUGCAGAAGAGGAGAGUGGAAUUCCACGUGUAGCGGUGAAAUGCGUAGAGAUGUGGAGGAACACCAGUGGCGAAGGCGACUCUCUGGUCUGUAACUGACGCUGAGGAGCGAAAGCGUGGGGAGCGAACAGGAUAGAUACCCCGGUAGUCCCUGUCUCUUAUACA